This 253-nucleotide ribosomal RNA is filed under the name uncultured bacterium. RNAcentral's name for it is "partial 16S ribosomal RNA". It matches the Rfam family "Bacterial small subunit ribosomal RNA", at positions 524 to 776 of the family's 1533-position model. The record is from RNAcentral.
CACGUAGGGCGCAAGCGUUGUCCGGAAUUAUUGGGCGUAAAGAGCUCGUAGGCGGUCUGUUACGUCUGCUGUGAAAACCCAGGGCUUAACCCUGGGCUUGCAGUGGAUACGGGCAGACUAGAGGCAGGUAGGGGAGAAUGGAAUUCCUGGUGUAGCGGUGAAAUGCGUAGAGAUCAGGAAGAACACCGGUGGCGAAAGCGCUCUGCUAGGCCGCAACUGACACUGAGGGACGAAAGCUAGGGGAGCGAAUGGG